Xylariaceae sp. AK1471 is the source of this 74-nucleotide non-coding RNA. The record is from the annotation of a GenBank genome assembly. Lineage: Eukaryota; Fungi; Ascomycota; Sordariomycetes; Xylariales; Xylariaceae.
AGUUUUAUGGUGUAGUUGGUUAUCGUGUCAGUCCGACAUACUGAAAGUCUCCGGUUAAAGCCCGUGUGAGAUCA